This 2786-nucleotide small RNA is filed under the name Rattus norvegicus (Norway rat). RNAcentral's name for it is "uncharacterized LOC102555497". The record is from RNAcentral. Lineage: Eukaryota; Metazoa; Chordata; Mammalia; Rodentia; Muridae.
GAGGGAGGGUAUGAAACAUGUAAAACAUAUCUGAGAAAGUGCCCAUCCCGUCAUCCUUGGUUGCCUGAAUACCUUGACUCCCACUGGGAGGAGAACGGACACAUCACAGAGUCCUAGUUAUUGAGGAGGCAGGAAGACACGAUCAGUCACGACCAUACCAUGAAGCAAAGAGAAUCCAGACACAGCAGUGUGAGCUGUGGGAUUCUGUUGGCUAAAAUGUCCCGAUUCUUGGUGACGGGACAUAACAGAGGCCAAGGUGAAGAUCUGCCUUGGAGGCAGAGAGGAAGGGGAAGGCGCGUAAGGUGCAGCCCUUGAAGACUGGGUGUGUUUGGUUUCUGACUGGAGUCUGGUCACACACUUUGGAGUGGGUCGUUCUAACAGACCAACUUAUCCAUUUUGUGGGUGGAUAAAGAAGGGAGUCCCGUGUCACAGGAUAUUGGAACCCCAAGAUCGUGUGCCCAUCCCAAGCACACACUUUUAGUCAAAGAGCUUUGCGUUUAUCAUAAGCAGUCUUAAAUAAAAUCAACCACAGAUCAAGAAGUGGAGCAAAGCAACCAGCUGACGGGGUGGACAUUGAAGUAAAUGGACAGAGUGGGAGGAAGUCAGGAGGAGGGAUAGUGAGGCACACAGGAAGGAGAAGGGAGGGAUGCUCAGUUGGAAGGUUUAUUGGGCUAGUGUGGAGAAGGAGAGCUUUUUCCUUUUGGGAUGCUGGCUGAGCAGCAAGGUCAGCUGGGUGCUUUCUCUGCCCCUCUGAGGCUUUCACCCCAGCAUCUGGCUCCUGACUCUUCACUGGUAAAUGGAACGUUUAAGACUCUGUUAAGAACAACAGUGGGGGUCCACCUACUGAUUGGCUUUCACAGUCGCUCGCUCCUUCCUCCACAGGGGAGUUCAUCUUCUCUUGACUUUCUUUGGUGAACUCCUAUAGAUUGAUCUCAUCUAGACCAGGCUUCUUCUUCUUAAGGAAGCCCUUUUCCUAUUGUAUCAGUCAGCGGUGGCCGCAAAACAAACACGACCAUGAAGAGAGUGAGAACAGUGAUUGUUAGCUCACAUUUCUUUAUUUGGGACGUACGUGAUACCCAUGAGCUGGGGUGUCAGACAGGAGGGCUCCAUCCAGACAGAGUACCCAGGGAGGAAGCCAGCAGCAGGAUAUGACAUAGGCCCGCUGUCUAGGCCCCUCAGUGGCAGAGUGGAGACCAGACCGAGUAUGGAACUCAGGCGGUGACCACUAGCCUGUACAGAUUCGGACCCCAGCCCCGGCACCUCCUUCCUGUGCAGCUUUGGGUGGGCGUGGACUUCUGUCCUGGUGAAAGGGAGUCACAGUGAGUUUUAGAGGCAAUGAUCACACAUAAUGUGCAGAGCUGCUCCCUAUACAUAGUAGGUACACAGCAAGGACCCUGUAGUCUGCUUGCUCUGGCAGACUAAUGUCACUCAGAGAUCCCUGGUGGCAGGGGAUCCUGACUCAUUCAGUGACCUUGGUAUCCUCAGUUCUGCAGUGACUAUGGCCUGGAGCAGCUGUGACUGGGUGGCCCCUCUCCAGGUGCAGGUGCUGGACCUGCAGGAUCCUCCAGUGUGUCUCAGAGCCAGCCCCAUGUUUAAGGUAUUGCUGAACCCACUGACAGAAAGUCCUAUGACAGUGUCUCCUUUGUUAAUCAGCCAAACCUUCCCGGUGCCAGGUUAGCAGGGCCAUAUUUGCCUCACUUUAGGGCUUGCCCUAGGAUGCAGGUCAAAGGUAACCAGGCCCCUCCACCACCAGCAGUGUGGACCGCAACGUGGCGUGGCGUUAAUGUUGGAGUAAGUUGGCACUAGUCGCUGCGGGCUGUGUGGGAGCCCUGCCUCCUCUCCCUCUCCUUCUAACUUGGGAACUGACUCUCUUUCUAACCAGUUCCUCUACCCUUGGGGUCAUUCACUGGCCUUAGCAGGAAGCUGGAAGAGAGGAUGGGAGGGAGGAGGGGCUUGGGGAGAUCCAUCCACAGCAGAGAUAGCAGGACUCUGGUACUUCACCGGGAUCCUAAGCUGCCUGCCUGGUUUCUUGUGCCCUGUUUUAAGAACAGGUUUCUUUUUGAUACCAACCUUUCUGGAAAGAACUGCCCACGCGAACAUCACCUGCCCUGCGACCCGAUCAUUGCAGAACUCCUUCAGCAAAGCAGGAGGCUGGCUCCUGACAGACCUCUGGUCCUGAGGACUCGCUGGUACUCACCGUCAGCCGUCAGCCGCUGUGCAGGGCACAGGUGGUCCCAUGCCAGUCCCUGCCUCUGCCACCAGGGACAUAAAGGGCAGUUUGAUGUGGAAGGACUCAGUAAUAGCAGUGUCGUGCCACAGUGAGAAAGUGUGUCUCUGCUAGAGGUGCUCCCGCCCCCAGAACCAUUCUCUUCCAAGCAAAGCAAAGUUACAUUGUUAUACCUGUCAGAUGGCUUGAGGGAAGGCCGUGUGCCAGCAUCUAGUGCCCCGGAACACCUCAAAUGGAUCCUGGAAGGACUUCAUGGUGACCGGGCUUGGUGGGGUGCAGCUGCUCAUUUUGACAGGCUGGAAGAGAGGACCAGGAGAGCAAGCAAAAGGAGGCAGUGGAGACAAGCAAUACCCUUCCAAAGCAUGUCCCCCAUAGUGGCCUCUUCCCUUAAACUCUCCCUCUGCCUCCCAACUUCCCAUUGCCUCCCAACACCACUGCCAGUUAUAACUCUAUCGAGGGACUUUCCAUUGAUGAAGACAGCACCUGUUUGCUGGUUCAUCUAAUCUGUGUCUGGAUUCAUCUAUACUGUCAUUGCUAUAGGCAGUGUGUGUGUGUGUGU